RNAcentral lists this ribosomal RNA (430 nucleotides) under uncultured bacterium. Its description in RNAcentral is "bacterial SSU rRNA". It matches the Rfam family "Bacterial small subunit ribosomal RNA", at positions 355 to 776 of the family's 1533-position model. The record is from RNAcentral.
UUAGGAAUCUUGCGCAAUGGGGGAAACCCUGACGCAGCGACGCCGCGUGGGUGAAGAAGGCCUUCGGGUUGUAAAGCCCUGUCACCUGGGACGAAUGGUAUAGAGGGGAAAGUUCUCUAUAUUUGACGGUACCGGGGGAGGAAGCACCGGCUAACUCUGUGCCAGCAGCCGCGGUAAUACAGAGGGUGCAAGCGUUGUUCGGAUUUAUUGGGCGUAAAGAGCGUGUAGGCGGUAAUGUAAGUCUGAUGUGAAAUCCUUGGGCUCAACCUGAGAACUGCAUUGGAUACUGCGUUACUAGAGUGUCGUAGGGGUUACUGGAAUUCCUGGUGUAGAGGUGAAAUUCGUAGAUAUUAGGAAGAACACCGGUGGCGAAGGCGGGUAACUGGACGAUAACUGACGCUGAGACGCGAAAGCGUGGGGAGCAAACAGG